This 254-nucleotide ribosomal RNA is filed under the name uncultured bacterium. RNAcentral describes it as "partial 16S ribosomal RNA". It matches the Rfam family "Bacterial small subunit ribosomal RNA", at positions 524 to 777 of the family's 1533-position model. The record is from RNAcentral.
UACGUAGGAUGCAAGCGUUGUCCGGAAUUAUUGGGCGUAAAGAGCGCGCAGGCGGUCUGCCAAGUCAGAUGUGAAAGAGGCCGGCUUAACCGGCAAGGGUCAUUUGAAACUGACAGACUAGAGUGCAGCAGAGGAUAGCGGAAUUCCCGGUGUAGUGGUGAAAUGCGUAGAUAUCGGGAGGAACACCAGUGGCGAAGGCGGCCAACUGGACGAGUACUGACGCUGAGACACGAAAGCGUGGGGAGCAAACAGGG